UCGGCUCUGCGCGGGCCGCGCGAUCUUCAGUGACCUGAACCAGCCGCCGCCCGCUCCGGAGUCAGAAGGGAACGGACUCGCAGGCUGUAGAGUACAAGAUAACGGAAUACACCUGCUUUUGGCCCUGGCUUCUCACCGGACACCUGCGGUGACCUCCCGGGUUUUCAAAGGACAAGUACCUCAUGCAAGAAUGCAGUGCUUUUGAAGCCAGACGAUGAUAAUCAAGGUUUCACUGGUUUAGCAGAAUGUUCGAGAGGACCCAGGGACAUGAAAGGAACAGCACAGUGAAGAGCUAAGAGCCCUGCCCAGCAACAAAUGCUGCCAAAGCACUCCGCACGCAGAAACGCUCCGGAAUGGGCGGUGGGGGCAGAGCAGAAAAAGGAGUUUGUUAAAAAAUAAAUUAUAACAUUUUUUCCUUUC
Long non-coding RNA from Artibeus jamaicensis (Jamaican fruit-eating bat), 420 nucleotides. RefSeq lists it as uncharacterized. The record is from RefSeq and is a predicted model, not a curated record. Lineage: Eukaryota; Metazoa; Chordata; Mammalia; Chiroptera; Phyllostomidae. The transcript has 3 exons.